GUCCCAAUUCCAUCCGCCAUGGCAACGGCGCCAGCCAUUUUUGUGCCUUCCACUUCUCUCGCUUCCUCCAAUGCACGCAAGAUUAAUCUAAGUUCAUGGAACGAGAAACUGGUUAUACCCCAAAAUUUUCCAUUCUGGACUCCCAAGUACCAGUCUAGGAAACCACCGUCAUGCUCCGGUACCAAUGUCACGGUGGUCCAAGGUGAUCGGAAUACAACCGAACUACCAAUGAGUAUUGACGCUCUUGACAGUUUCAUUCGCCUUAAUUUGGGAAACUGGACCGGCUCUUUCCAUCAAUUUGAUGGUCAUGGAAAUUUGAUGCAUAGAAUUACAACGAAACUUGCUGUGGGCUCUUAUGGUGAAGGUGAACUGAUGAGUUUAUUACAAACGUUAUACAUCAAACAACCUCCAUCUACCACUUCAUGUUCUGGCGAUGAUUGUGAGUCAGAGUGGUUUGAGUACAAAAUCAAAGAGACCAACAUGUUUACCGUCGACAAAUAUCAACAGAUUGGCUUCUUCCCCAAGGAAAAGGCAUACGCACUAAGAUAUCAGACUGCUGGCAUGUUGGAGACUGUGUUAAGACAGGGAGUGCUAGGUGAAGAUGAUAUCGGAGAAGAAUCACCAAGAAAUCUGAAGCUUCCCUCUAAACGUCCUUCUAUUGUAUGUGAAAAUUGUCUUUAUUCACUGGAGAAAGAUAGGCGAGUGAGAGCAUUUCAUAUAAUGGACCCAAAAGGAGUACUGGAAAUGCUUCUUGUUUUCCUUGAAGAAAGAGGGAACGGAGAGGCCAUUCCUCCCUCCUUUGACGAUUUCAAGGAGGAUACUGAAAGAAUUCUGCCUCAUCUUGGAACUUGGAAAGGUCAUUCGCGAACAACACGUACUGGUGUUUAUGGAGCAACAAUUACUGAAGCAAGUACAACUGCUGUUCUUGAAAUCAACAAGGACGGCCAGCUAAUUCAGGAUAUCACGUCUACUUCUGGUGCGACUAAUAUUACAACAAAUGUACAUUGGACCGGUACCAUAUCCAAUAACCUAGUGACAUUCGACGGUGGUUUCCAGCUUACUCUGUUGCCUGGGGGCAUUUACAUGGGAUACCCAUCUGAUGUGGCCAAGAAUGUGCAAGAAUCCACAGCAUUUCACGUUGAGUUUUGUUGGCUAGAAUCGCCUGGCAAGAGACAAAGACUUAUCCGUACUUACGAUGUAGAGGGCUUUGCUGUUUCAUCUACUUAUUUCAUCGAGUCCAAGGUCUGAGUUAUUUCCCCUGAUUCAAAAAGAUGUGCUUCAGACAUCAUAUUUGCUCCCGCAUGAACCAUUUUUCCUGGGUACAAUCACCAACACUGUAGUAUCAAUUGUAUCUAUCUAUCUAUAUAUCUGUUUU
RNAcentral lists this unclassified non-coding RNA (1375 nucleotides) under Hevea brasiliensis (rubber tree). Lineage: Eukaryota; Viridiplantae; Streptophyta; Magnoliopsida; Malpighiales; Euphorbiaceae. The record is from RNAcentral.